AUGUCCCUCCUCCUGCUUUCUGUUGAUAUAAUUCCGCUGGAUGGCGCUGUCACAUCAGGGACCUGGCACUGCUUAUUGACAGCUGCUAUUUGGAAUUCUCAUGCUUCUGAUCGUGCUGAAAGUCCUGCCUCUCCCAUUUCCUCAUUGGUUUAUAGAAGCAGGUACACACAUAGUAUUGUGGUAAUACUAUGAAAGUAUAGAUGCUGAUCACCAUAUAAGUUCAAAGAUGAAAAAGCCUGGAAGGAGGAGAGAUGACUUGAAACGAUUCGGUUGGCCGUUUUAUGUGUGGAUUAAUUGUCAGAGUAGAGGACCUUGUGCAUUUCAGGUAAAAUAACAACUCAAUGUUUAUAUCCCAGGACCAAUUAGCUAGCAACAGCAAGCUAGCUAAAUAACACAAAUUAGCUAGCAAGUGCAAGCUAACUAGCUGAAUUGCCAUAAAUGUUUAAUGCUUUUCGACCUGUCCCCAAAUGAAUGUCAUUGGUUCAGAGUUUUUGAUAUUUUAACCUGCGUGCCGUGAUAGCGUUUGGUGUAGGGAGACAAAACAUUUAUGCACGAUGGCGCACGCAGCCGGUUUGGUGGACUUAGGAGUGUUUUAACAUGCAUCUUUCCUACAACGACCGAAUAUGUAACUUGUGUUUUCCAAAACGCCACUCGAGAACGUACGCUAAAAAGUGCAUUGUUUAGCCAUAUGUCGAUACUCUACUGUGUAGCACCCACUUGAGUGAUGCUACACUGCCGCUGAAAACUCACGAUACAGGCGAUUGUAUUAGAAUUUACAUUCAUUCUCCAUUCUUUACAUUUACACCUUUGGCUUAAAUUCAUAUCAUUCGCAACUCCAACAGCUUAUUUGUUUCUUCUUCUGACAACAGGCGUUGUCUUUUCACCCAGGUACACACACUCCUGGGAGAUGACAGCAUGGGUACUAAUUAUCCUAUUUAAAUAUGUGACAGCCAGCAAGGUGCAGAAUACACACCAAGGGAUUGUUCAGUAGAGCACUAUGAUAAGGAUGUUGCAGAUACAGUUGAAACUAAUUUUAAGUGCAUGUCUAGUUCACAAUCAGUCAAAUAACAAACACCAUCAUUGUUCUUACUCCAGAUAUCUGCAGUCUUGUUUAGUGCACACAUUCAAGACAGCCCCAUGCCAUUUUUCAGGAGUCAGAUGUAUCUGGUAGAAAAACACACAUUUGUGACUUCACUCUCUAUUUUAUAUUAUCUCAAGUUUUUCUGUACUUUACCAUGGCCAUCUCAAAUCAAAUUGUAUUUGUCACAUACACAUGGUUAGCAGAUGUUAAUGUGAGUGUAGAGAAAUGCUUGUGCUUCUGGUUCCCGAUAGUGCAGUAAUAUCUAACAGUUCCACAACAACUACCUAAUUAAUACACACACAUCUAAAAGGGGUGAAUGAGAAUAUGUACAUCUAAAUAUAUGGAUGAGCGAUUGUAGAGCAGCAUAGGCAAGGUGCAAUAGAUGGUAUAAAGUACAUACAGUUGAAGUCGGAGGUUUACGUUACACCUUGUCAAAUACA
Molecule: long non-coding RNA, 1521 nt
Filed under: Oncorhynchus kisutch (coho salmon)
Lineage: Eukaryota; Metazoa; Chordata; Actinopteri; Salmoniformes; Salmonidae
Description: lncRNA (ENSOKIG00005008960.1)
Source: RNAcentral